This 460-nucleotide ribosomal RNA is filed under the name uncultured bacterium. RNAcentral's name for it is "partial 16S ribosomal RNA". It matches the Rfam family "Bacterial small subunit ribosomal RNA", at positions 338 to 795 of the family's 1533-position model. The record is from RNAcentral.
CCUACGGGAGGCAGCAGUGAGGAAUAUUGGUCAAUGGGCGCGAGCCUGAACCAGCCAAGUAGCGUGAAGGAUGACUGCCCUACGGGUUGUAAACUUCUUUUAUAAAGGAAUAAAGUGAGGCACGUGUGCCUUUUUGUAUGUACUUUAUGAAUAAGGAUCGGCUAACUCCGUGCCAGCAGCCGCGGUAAUACGGAGGGUCCGAGCGUUAUCCGGAUUUAUUGGGGGUAAAGGGAGCGUAGAUGGGUUGUUAAGUCAGUUGUGAAAGCUUGUGGCUUAACCAUAGAACUGCAAUUGAAACUGGCAGUCUUGAGUACAGGUGAGGUAGGUGGAAUUCGUGGUGUAGCGGUAAAAUCCGUAGAGAUCAAGAAGAACACCGAUUGCGAAGGCAGCCUACUAGACCAUCACUGACACUGAUGCUCGAAAGCGUGGGGAGCAAACAGGAUUAGAUACCCCAGUAGUC